This 253-nucleotide ribosomal RNA is filed under the name uncultured Sphingobacteriaceae bacterium. Its description in RNAcentral is "partial 16S ribosomal RNA". It matches the Rfam family "Bacterial small subunit ribosomal RNA", at positions 524 to 776 of the family's 1533-position model. RNAcentral also lists the same sequence under 1 other name. The record is from RNAcentral. Lineage: Bacteria; Pseudomonadati; Bacteroidota; Sphingobacteriia; Sphingobacteriales; Sphingobacteriaceae.
UACGGAGGAUCCAAGCGUUAUCCGGAUUUAUUGGGUUUAAAGGGUGCGUAGGCGGCCAAUUAAGUCAGAGGUGAAAACUUGCAGCUCAACUGUAAGCGUGCCUUUGAUACUGAUUGGCUUGAAUAAACUAGAGGUAGGCGGAAUGUGACAAGUAGCGGUGAAAUGCAUAGAUAUGUCACAGAACACCAAUUGCGAAGGCAGCUUACUAUGGUUUAAUUGACGCUGAGGCACGAAAGCGUGGGGAUCAAACAGG